This 723-nucleotide ribosomal RNA is filed under the name uncultured fungus. Its description in RNAcentral is "LSU rRNA". It matches the Rfam family "Eukaryotic large subunit ribosomal RNA", at positions 23 to 664 of the family's 3401-position model. The record is from RNAcentral. Lineage: Eukaryota; Fungi.
ACCCGCUGAACUUAAGCAUAUCAAUAAGCGGAGGAAAAGAAACUAACAAGGAUUCCCCUAGCAACGGCGAGUGAAGCGGGAAUAGCUCAAAUUUAAAAUCUUGCAGGGUUACCUGUACGAAUUGUAGUUUAGAGAAACGUUUUCGGGUCUGACUUGGGCAUAAGUCCUUUGGAACGAGGCAUCAUAGAGGGUGAGAAUCCCGUUUUUGGUCCAAUGUUCAGUCCUAUGUGAUACGUUUUCCAAGAGUCGGUUUGUUUGGGAAUGCAGACCAAAAUGGGUGGUAAAUACCAUCUAAAGCUAAAUAUUGGCGAGAGACCGAUAGCGAACAAGUACCGUGAGGGAAAGAUGAAAAGAACUUUGAAAAGAGAGUUAAACAGUACGUGAAAUUGUUAAAAAGGAAACGCUUGAAACCAGUAUUGCUUGCACAUAAUCAGCCUCAUCUUGUAUGAGGUGCACUUGUGUGUCGGCAGGUCAACAUCAGUUUGACUUGGGGUAAAAAGCCAGAAGAAGGUGAUCCAGAGCUUGCUCUGGGUGUUAUAGCUUCUGGUCCUGCCUUGGGUUGGACUGUGGACUGCAGCAUUUUUUGGGUACCCAGUCGCCUCUUGAACCCUUGUUGCAGACAGCUUGCUGACUGUUUCAAGACUUAUGGAGCCCGGUUGGUUUUCCACACCAAUGCUUAGGAUGUUGACGAAAUGGUUUUAAACGACCCGUCUUGAAACACGG